This 793-nucleotide ribosomal RNA is filed under the name Methanosaeta sp. enrichment culture clone L35A_22. Its description in RNAcentral is "bacterial SSU rRNA". It matches the Rfam family "Archaeal small subunit ribosomal RNA", at positions 85 to 879 of the family's 1478-position model. Lineage: Archaea; Methanobacteriati; Methanobacteriota; Methanomicrobia; Methanotrichales; Methanotrichaceae. The record is from RNAcentral.
ACUGCUCAGUAACACGUGGACAACCUGCCCUUAGGACGGGGAUAAACCCGGGAAACUGGGUAUAAUACCCGAUAGGUCUCGAUUGCUGGAAUGCAUCGAGAUUUAAAGCUCCGGCGCCUAAGGAUGGGUCUGCGGCCUAUCAGGUAGUAGUGGGUGUAGCGUACCUACUAGCCUACGACGGGUACGGGUUGUGAGAGCAAGAGCCCGGAGAUGGAUUCUGAGACACGAAUCCAGGCCCUACGGGGUGCAGCAGGCGCGAAAACUUUACAAUGCUGGCAACAGCGAUAAGGGAACCUCGAGUGCCAGGUUACAAAUCUGGCUGUCGAGAUGCCUAAAAAGCAUUUCAUAGCAAGGGCCGGGCAAGACCGGUGCCAGCCGCCGCGGUAACACCGGCGGCUCGAGUGGUAACCGUUAUUAUUGGGUCUAAAGGGUCUGUAGCCGGCCGGAUAAGUCUCUUGAGAAAUCUGGCAGCUUAACUGUCAGGCUUUCAGGAGAUACUGUCUGGCUCGAGGCCGGGAGAGGUGAGAGGUACUUCAGGGGUAGGGGUGAAAUCUUGUAAUCCUUGAAGGACCACCAGUGGCGAAGGCGUCUCACCAGAACGGACCUGACGGCAAGGGACGAAAGCUAGGGGCACGAACCGGAUUAGAUACCCGGGUAGUCCUAGCCGUAAACGAUACUCGCUAGGUGCCGGCCACGGUGCGACCGUUGUCGGUGCCGUAGGGAAGCCGUGAAGCGAGCCACCUGGGAAGUACGGCCGCAAGGCUGAAACUUAAAGGAAUUGGCGGGGGAGCAC